Cricetulus griseus (Chinese hamster) is the source of this 269-nucleotide non-coding RNA. Lineage: Eukaryota; Metazoa; Chordata; Mammalia; Rodentia; Cricetidae. The record is from RefSeq and is a predicted model, not a curated record.
CACACGAAUACAAAGAGCCAUACGACCUUCGGGUAUCCUUUUUCCAUUUUUUUUUCGCCUUCAUCUUGUGUGUGUUUUCAGAUUUUUUUAAAAAUUGAGAUCUGUGGCAGUGCUGGGACAAGCUUUCUUUGUGCACCCCCGGCUGUCCUGAAACCACCUCUAACGACCGACCAGGCUGGCCCUCUGCCUCCAGAGUGCAGGGAUUAAAGAUCUGCACACCAGAAGAGGUCAUUGGAUCCCAUGGGACUGUAGUUACAGACAGUUGUGAG